GUGUCAGCAGCCGCGGUAAUACGAAGGGUGCAAGCGUUAUUCGGAUUUAUUGGGCGUAAAGGGUGCGUAGGCGGCAUAUUAAGUCAAUUGUUAAAUUCUUCGGCCUAACCGAAGGUCAGCGGUAGAUACUGAUAUGCUAGAGGAUGGAAGAGAGAAGUGGAAUUCUUGGAGUAGCGGUAAAAUGCGUAGAUCUCAAGAGGAACACCGAUGGCGAAGGCAGCUUCUUGGUCCAUAUCUGACGCUCAAGCACGAAAGCGUGGGGAGCAAACAGGAUUAGAUACCCUGGUAGUCCACGCUGUAAACGAUGAUCACUAGAUGUUGGUCUUGCUUUGCAAGAUUGGUGUCGUAGCUAACGCGCUAAGUGAUCCGCCUGGGGAGUACGGUCGCAAGAUUAAA
This 396-nucleotide ribosomal RNA is filed under the name uncultured bacterium. RNAcentral's name for it is "bacterial SSU rRNA". It matches the Rfam family "Bacterial small subunit ribosomal RNA", at positions 505 to 898 of the family's 1533-position model. The record is from RNAcentral.